RNAcentral lists this ribosomal RNA (253 nucleotides) under uncultured bacterium. RNAcentral describes it as "partial 16S ribosomal RNA". It matches the Rfam family "Bacterial small subunit ribosomal RNA", at positions 524 to 776 of the family's 1533-position model. The record is from RNAcentral.
UACGUAGGUGGCAAGCGUUAUCCGGAAUUACUGGGCGUAAAGCGCACGCAGGCGGCGCAUCAAGUUCGACGUGAAAGCUCCCGGCUUAACUGGGAGAGGUCGUUGAAGACUGAUGGGCUUGAGGCAAUGAGAGGGGUGUAGAAUUCCCGGUGUAGUGGUGAAAUGCGUAGAUAUCGGGAGGAACACCAGUGGCGAAGGCGACUACCUGGCCUGUUCUUGACGCUGAGGCGCGAAAGCUAGGGGAGCAAACGGG